GCCACUAUUUAAAAAAUAUUCCUGAUGAUUAUCCUUCUCAAAUUAUGUCUUUCUGAAGUGGCUAUUUGGGUGCCCUGUUAAUGUAAAAUUUAAGUUAAGCAUUUUACUAUUAGAAUUCAAAGAACCAAAUGCCAUGGGUUCUUUUAUAUUUAUGAGGCAUAAUUUCAGUUUAUGUUUCAACUUGCACCUUACAUUCUUUAGCUAGUUUAUUGCUUCUUGUAAUCAUACUAUUUAUAACACUUUUCAUCCUUAGUUCUCUAACACUUUUACAUACCUCAAUUUAUUCCAGUUUACAGGCAAGUGGGUGGUAAGUAAGUAGUAAAAUCUCUCAUUUUUCAAAAAAAAACUGUUAAAGGCAUAAUGAUGAAAUGAUGCCCAGCAAAUUGGUGGCAGGGUUGGUAAUGUGAUAGUGGGGUAGACUUACUAUUGGAUGUUGUGUUCUCAAGCACUCCCAGAAAACAGCUCAUUCCUUUAACAAAGAGCUGGAUCUCAGGAAUGCAGGUGGUGCUCCACAUCAGGAAUGGCAUCUGACAGGCAGCAAGACGCAUGGAACGGAUAGAACCCCUGUUCCUUCAGGGGAGAGAAACCAGAAUGGAGCAAAUGACAGACCCUUAAAGGAAUAAAGCUCGUGAUUGGAUCAUAUCUGACUACAGUCUGUCUUCAUUAAAGAACCACCAUUAACUAUGGAACUGUUCUGAAGCCAGAGGUAAAUAAUCAUCACCUUGUCUGAGAAUCGGCCUGCUGAACAGGGCCCUGGACAUCAUCGUGCCCUACUCCUUCAUCUGUGAAAGGAAGGAGUGGAUUGACUCAUCCAAGGUCACAAAGCUUGUUAGAGAAAGUCCCUGCUCUGGCCACUGGUUUGGUUCUUUCUAAGCUGCAGUGACCCUGGGGUAGUCCUUUGGGACUGAUAUGACUUACUGACUUGGCUUUUUGAUUUUUUUUUAACCAGUAAAUAUUUCUGAACGUAUCGCUAAAAGAUAAGAACUGUAAAAAAUAAUUUAAUCAUAAUAUCAUUAAAGAACAGUUAAUAAUAAUUCCUAAAUGUCAUAAAAUACUCAAUGUUCAAACUUUAGAUGUUGAUGGAAUUUAAAGUUAAACUGAGCAAAUUUGUGUAACCUUUGAAAUAUUAUGUAAUCUUUGUGGGUCACAAAUUCCUCAUCUGUGAACUAGGGAUG
RNAcentral lists this long non-coding RNA (1175 nucleotides) under Capra hircus (goat). Its description in RNAcentral is "lncRNA (ENSCHIG00000007269.1)". The record is from RNAcentral. Lineage: Eukaryota; Metazoa; Chordata; Mammalia; Artiodactyla; Bovidae.